AGGGCUGUAAACGAGCCGAGCUCGAGCGAGCUGGGGCCAGCUCGAGCUCGGCUCGAACGUCUUCAGGUCGGCUCGUGUUCGGCUCGAGCUCGUGACGAGCUCAAAAACUCCGGCUCGUGAUCGGCUCGCAACUUAAUCGAGCUAGCUCGUGUUCGGCUCGUUAGCGCCGCUGUCGAAGUUCACUGCCGCUGCCGCUGCCGCUGCCGAAGUUCGCUGCUGGGGCUUUGUUGUCAUGGUGCGACCAUGACCGCGAGUGAGAAGCGUAGGGAUAGGAGGAAGGUAAAGUAGCACUGUAGCAGGGUGAGACAUGGGAGGAUCCAAGGUGAAGAAGGAGACAAGGCGGCGGCGUAAUCUAAAGGAGAGUGGGGUUUCGGGCAACGGGUCUGUAACAACCCUGAAGAAUAAAUGGUAGAGUAGUAGCAGAGGAAGGUAGCAAAAAUAGCAACUUUACUAGUAAAAUAGGAGAAUAAAAAUGGCAGCAGCUCAGUGAUGAAGGAGAAGGAGACAUGGUAGGUCGAGUCGGCGGGAAGCGCCUUCGCAGCGGGCGGAAGGACUACCUGAGGAGGUACCAUGGUGGUUAGGGCAUCCUGGAAGACAAGGUGGAGAAGAAGAUCGAGGUUGAAGGAGGAAAUCCGACAGAGUAUUGGGGAAGGCGGAAGAACUUAAGCGGGUCGAAGCUUCAGGAUCUCGGAGCGGAGGCAAAACGCGGACCCAGUACCCGCCGGGUUGCGGAUAGUGCAAAGAAGGCGAGCCCAAGAACCGUUUACCCGACUUCCAGGCGGUUUGGACCAAACAAGCCCACCCAAGGCCCACAAGGCAACCCGAAUUCAACCCAUCAGGCCUCAAUUCCCAUUUGUGUCAAAUUGCUGUUAAGCCCUCGUAGGAUAGUUUAAUUUCAAUUCACUACAAGUUGUUGAGACUAUAUAUAUCAGAAUGUAAUAGCAAAGGAGACAUGAAUGAAAAUGAAUUAGUCCCAACCAGGAGAAAGACCCAGCCCAAGCCAAGAUUAGGCCCAAGAUAAUCCAUUUAGAAUGGCUAAAAUUUUAAAAUUAAUAAUCUGUAUUAUAUAUUUAUAUACAAAUAUAAUUAUAUAUAUAAUAUAUAAAAAUUAUAUUAAUAUAAAAUAAAUAUAAUCGAGCUGUU
RNAcentral lists this long non-coding RNA (1143 nucleotides) under Ananas comosus (pineapple). Its description in RNAcentral is "long non-coding RNA (ACOM_LNC023499)". Lineage: Eukaryota; Viridiplantae; Streptophyta; Magnoliopsida; Poales; Bromeliaceae. The record is from RNAcentral.